Molecule: transfer RNA, 84 nt
Filed under: Actinomycetota bacterium
Lineage: Bacteria; Bacillati; Actinomycetota
Description: Actinobacteria bacterium tRNA-Ser
Rfam family: tRNA
About the family: Transfer RNA (tRNA) molecules are approximately 80 nucleotides in length.
Source: RNAcentral
GGAGGGGUGGCAGAGAUGGCCGAAUGCGCCGGUCUUGAAAACCGGAGGGUGAAAGCCCCGCGGGUUCGAAUCCCGCCCCCUCCG